GACGAACGCUGGCGGCGUGCUUAACACAUGCAAGUCGAACGGAAAGGCCCUGCUUGCAGGGUCCUCGAGUGGCGAACGGGUGAGUAACACGUGGGUGAUCUGCCCUGCACUUCGGGAUAAGCCUGGGAAACUGGGUCUAAUACCGGAUAGGAGCCAUUUUUAGUGUGAUGGUUGGAAAGUUUUUUCGGUGUAGGAUGAGCUCGCGGCCUAUCAGCUUGUUGGUGGGGUAAUGGCCUACCAAGGCGGCGACGGGUAGCCGGCCUGAGAGGGUGGACGGCCACAUUGGGACUGAGAUACGGCCCAGACUCCUACGGGAGGCAGCAGUGGGGAAUAUUGCACAAGGGGCGCAAGCCUGAUGCAGCGACGCCGCGUGGGGGAUGACGGCCUUCGGGUUGUAAACUCCUUUCGCUAGGGACGAAGCUUUUUGUGACGGUACCUAGAUAAGAAGAACCGGCUAACUACGUG
RNAcentral lists this ribosomal RNA (465 nucleotides) under uncultured bacterium. RNAcentral describes it as "partial 16S ribosomal RNA". It matches the Rfam family "Bacterial small subunit ribosomal RNA", at positions 28 to 507 of the family's 1533-position model. The record is from RNAcentral.